RNAcentral lists this ribosomal RNA (440 nucleotides) under Neaxius acanthus. Its description in RNAcentral is "partial 16S small subunit ribosomal RNA". It matches the Rfam family "Archaeal large subunit ribosomal RNA", at positions 2021 to 2657 of the family's 2987-position model. Lineage: Eukaryota; Metazoa; Arthropoda; Malacostraca; Decapoda; Strahlaxiidae. The record is from RNAcentral.
GACCGUGCGAAGGUAGCAUAAUAGUUAGUCUUUUAAUUGGAGGCUGGAAUGAACGGUCGGACAAAGAACCAACUGUCUCGGUAGUAAUUAUUAAAUUUAACUUUUUGGUGAAAAGGCCAGGAUGACCUGGGGGGACGACAAGACCCUGUAAAACUUUACAUUGAAUUAGUAAAGCUAGAACUAUUUGUGACAAUGGUUGUACUAAUUAUAUUUGUUUUGUUGGGGCGACAUGAGUAUAAUUAAUUAACUGCUCUUAGAAAAAACAAUUAUUUUUGUUAUGUAAAUGAUCCUUUAUAUUAAGAUUUAAAGAAAAAGUUACUUCAGGGAUAACAGCGUUAUUUUUUUUGAGAGUUCUUAUCGACAAAAUAGAUUGCGACCUCGAUGUUGAAUUAAAAUUUUCUUAUAGUGUAGCAGCUAUGAAGAAAGGUCUGUUCGACCUU